UAGCUCCACCACAACCAG
This 18-nucleotide unclassified non-coding RNA is filed under the name Mus musculus (house mouse). RNAcentral's name for it is "oocyte_clustered_small_RNA3611". The record is from RNAcentral. Lineage: Eukaryota; Metazoa; Chordata; Mammalia; Rodentia; Muridae.